This 71-nucleotide transfer RNA is filed under the name Haliotis rubra (blacklip abalone). RNAcentral describes it as "tRNA-Pro". It matches the Rfam family "tRNA". From Rfam's summary of the family: Transfer RNA (tRNA) molecules are approximately 80 nucleotides in length. Their secondary structure includes four short double-helical elements and three loops (D, anti-codon, and T loops). RNAcentral also lists the same sequence under 1 other name. Lineage: Eukaryota; Metazoa; Mollusca; Gastropoda; Lepetellida; Haliotidae. The record is from RNAcentral.
GGCUCGUUGGUCUAGGGGUAUGAUUCUCGCUUUGGGUGCGAGAGGUCCUGGUUCGAAUCCCGGACGAGCCC